Long non-coding RNA from Macaca mulatta (Rhesus monkey), 845 nucleotides. RefSeq lists it as uncharacterized. NCBI's taxonomy places the organism in Eukaryota, Metazoa, Chordata, Mammalia, Primates, Cercopithecidae. The record is from RefSeq and is a predicted model, not a curated record.
GCCAUUUUGGCUUCCGGUUCCCUUUGCGGUUUCUGCCACCGGGGUCUGGGAGGCGGCGCGUGGACCGGGGUGGAGGCGCACGGGACCGCGGGAGGGGAGUACUGCCGGCCACCACGGUUCUGACUCCCGCCGUCGGGGCGGGAGCUCGCUCGGUCCAAGGUCCCAGAGCCGGACCGCCGUCCUUGGACUUUGAGCGGGUGCGUGCGGCGGCCACGUGGGCGAGGAACGUGGGUCCGGCCGCCUCUCGCGGGUAGCGGCCUUGGUUCCUCCCGCGGGGCUGGGCUCGCCGGGGCCCGGAGCCCGCCGGGAAGAGUUCGGAAAUCACACGUGUCCUGUUUCCCGCUCUGUGCCUUCCCUGUUUGAAUUCUCUUAGGAAUCUCUAACUUCAUUGAGGACACGGGUGUAAGCAGAAGCUGUGUUCUCAGCUCCAAGAGGCAAAUCCCACGAAAGCCUAGGCAGGUGAAUUUCCUAAAGGCGAUGACAGUUGGAAAACCUGUGUUUUCAGCACGUGAUAAAUCUGCAUAGUCAGCAGACAAUGAAGAUUUGGCAUUCAAGAACUACUCAAAUACUUCUCGGUAAUAGCUAUCAUGAGCCUGCCUUGAUAGACCGAACUUGCUCAUAUUUAAAUCAUCAAGAUUGAGGAGAGAAUGUAACAACUUUUAAAAAUGUUUCUUAACCCGUAAAUACUUGGAGAAGAUGUGUUAUAUUGGACCAUGGACCUUUUGCAAGGGGAGGGGAGAAGAAAGCAAAAGUAAAGUUUAAAUUUAUAUUCAACCUUAAUUUGAUUGUGUAUAUUUGUCACCAAAUAAAUUAGUGCAAAGUUGACCAUACAACUGAUUAUGCAA